AUGAAGCGGAGCACGAGAUCAGAGCUAUUGGAGCGGUGGAGAUGCAUUGAGGAAGAAGCCGACGAAGACGACGAUCGGAUUGAGCCUUCUAAGCGUCACCGUCUUCACAAGAGCAAAGAGCAAUGGUUUGCAGAUACAUUUAAUUUCUUGAUCUGUUUGCCAAAAGAAAAUCAUAUUUGGUGUGGGUCAUGGGAUUUAAUGGGGCCUCUUCUGGAGACGUUUUACAACUAUUUUAAUGAUGAGCAUAGUGAUUCUCCUCUUAGACAACUAUGGAGGAGAAUCUCCGAAGAAAUGCGGCAAUGUAUCCAAUGCAUUUCCCAGCACUAUCAAGCACAAGAAAUGUAUAGCACUGAAUAUGAGUUGAGUUCUAUUGGCCCCCUUCUGGAUGUUUUGCGAAGGCUUGAUGAGGAGAGGGUGACACAACACUUAAUAGAGAUGAAUACUACAUUAGCUCGAAAGGAAUAUGAUCCUGCCCGUGAUAAUGCUGAAGUUGUUAGUGUCAUGUAUGAGGUUUUAAUGUUCCCUGUACUGUUGGAUGAUGGAUCCCUAUUCCUUGAAUUUGAAAGAUUUAUCGAAGCAGUUGAUAAUAUGCAUGAACUGGCCUUGGCCGGACAGCAGCAGUUUCCGGGUGUUUAUGCAUUAUUUUUUUUCAAAAGAAGAGUGCGUUCUGUUGGUCAUCGUUUAGCUGGUUCUAUGGGCAAACUGAGGAAAUCAGUAGACUUAGAACCCUUGCAGCCUUUGCUUAAGAAAUUCAUUGGCUUGUUGGAAACAGAAGUGUUACCUUCAACUGAGAAAACUACAAGGCCCAGAGUGCAGCUGGACCGCACAUCCAUAUGGAUAGGAAUCAAAACUUUGCUUGGGUUCUUAGAACCUCCAGCUUUUGAAGAAGGGAUAUUAGAGCGGUAUCCCAUUUUCCUUGAUAUUGUCCUCAACCAUAUUGGUGGUGAUUCAUCAGAGUUCUCUCAUGCAGUUGCUUGCUUGAGAAAAAUCUUUGAAAUGCUCGGACUGUAAUUUAUGUAGUCUCUUGAAGCUUUGCAAGAUGGCGAACAUGAAAAGCAGCGUAGGCAUUUUCUGUAUUUUCUCCUCCAUCAGGUGCCUGUGAGCAGUAACUUCAGUGUCUUGACAAGACAAAGGGCAUGCCAGAUAUCCCUUCUUAUUGUACAUCGAGGUUACACUAUGAACCCACCAUGUCCUCCUUUUGAAUGUGCACAUAUGUGGGGCCCUUCUCUUGUGUCAUCUAUGAAAGAUUCUUCGCUUCACAGCUCUCUAAGACAGCCUGCCUUUGAUCUAAUACAGACCAUCAUAGUGUCUGAUGCUGCUGCAUUAAUAAGUUCAGUUCUGAAUGCGCACCCACCCCUGAGUUCUGAGAAAAACUUAUCUUUUCAGUUGAAUGAUGAAGAUGAAGACGGGCUUCCAUUUUCACUGGAUAAUGAAGAGAAGGAUACUAAAAUGGCUCUUCCAGUUAGGACCUGGCUUUCAACCUGUGCUACAGAAAUAUCUCCAACCUUCGGGUGGAAGGUUCCUACUGGUUCUGACGAUGGUGGAGAAGGGAAGGAGUCAAAAAACUCGAUCAAAGUUUCAACAAUGCAUCUUCCUUUAGUUCGAACCUUUAAUAGGUUGACAGCACAUUUUGUGGUUCAAGUGGGGCAGGGGGAACUUUGUAAGCAGUGGACAUGGGAACCGAGGAUGGGUGAAAGCUUGUUCCUUGCGCUUAUAGAUCCUGAUGAUAAUGUGAGGCAAUUUGGCAAGUGCAUCUUGGAACAGGUUUCCAAUACAAGGGGUCUUUCUUGUGGUUUGAAUUUCCUUUGCUGUCAUCAAUCUUCACUGUCCUCAGUUUUCUUUGGCGUGAGACAUGCUGUGAAACUGGUUCAACUUGAUGCUGUUGUAUUAAAUUUUCACACUCUGCAUCACUUUUUCUUUGUUCUACGCAAAUUGCUUAAUGAGGGGGAUAUACCUACUUCGGCUAUUCCAGAACCUGACCACUUAAGUACAGCAAAGUUCUCUUCCCAUGGUGGAUUUCUUAGGCAGCCAAUCUUUGAUCCACCGGCUGUGAGCGUCUCUGGGCAAUCGUCAAAUGUUGACUCAAAGUUACUGGGAAGGUUUUGUUACUUGGUAUCGGAAACUGCGUGGCCUUCCAUCUGUGGGAGCUUAUUAGAAGGAAAAGCUUUUAUCAAUAACAGUGUUUGUCAGAUGACUUGUGUCCGCAUACUCGAGAUCAUCCCUUGUGUGUUUGAAAGACUAUACUAUUUUUGUUAUAAACCGUGCGGGGGUUCCGGUAUAUUGUCAAAUACUUGUGACUUCUCAUGGCUUCAUGAUAUAAUGGAUUGGGGAAAGUCAUCACUUAAAGUUGUAGUCAUAUACUGGCAACGAGCAAUCACCUCCUUGCUCAAAUUUCUGAAAGGGACAUGUAAAAGUGCUAUGGCAUCGACAAUUGGCAUUAUUGAAAAAAUCAUUUCAAGUGACUGUGUUUCCAUGGAUGAAUUGAUCGAACAAGUGUCGCUCCUCUCUGUAUCUUUGUCUAAGGAAGCUUCCACUAGUAUUGGAAUGGCCAACAUCCAGUCAAAGGGUUUAUCCCCUGAAGCCUUGUCUUUUGAGAAGAAAUAUUCAGUUCCAGAUGUGAAAUACUUGUCCAUUGGGGAUCCAGAUGUUCAAAUUCCUCACUCUUCCAUGGAGGAUGACAGAAAGCGUGGUAAUAAUAUGAUUGUCCUUUCUGAUGAUGAAACUGAAGUAGUUUUACCAAGUCAGACAGUUUCAUUUGAUACUAAGAUGAGUCGGUGCUUGAUGGAUGACAAGACAGUGAAUUCUAAAAGCACUUCAUAUGAUGAUUCUGUGAAGAAGAAGCCUUCUGGUGUUGACACUUCCACCAAUUCUUUCAAUGCUUACCAGAAAAUUGAUGCUACAGAUGGUACUGGCCUUGCUUCUCAGAAACAGGAUUGUGAUAGAUUAAUAGAAAUACAGCAGCCUGUUUCUUUGUUGAAAUCAAGGGAUGUGGAUAAUAGUAGGAAAGAAAUAAUCCCUGAUUGCAAUAUAAAUGAUUCGUUUAAAGUCAAGGGUACAGCUAAGUCAUCUGACAAUGCUGUCAGUUCCAAAAAGUUGAGUCAAGCUGGCAAAAAUAUGGCAGGGAAAGAACGUGGCGCUUUAUUGAAGGAGACGAUAUGUGAUGACGAAGAUGAUCCAUUAGACUCUGCUCUCAACUCAAUCAGACGCCAGCAGUCAUUUGUGCCAAAGCCAAGCAUUUCUGCUCCUAAGAGACAACUCAUUCAGCUUCAAUCUCCUUCUCAAAAUAGAGCUGGCCAUUUACAUAGGUUGGAAGGUAGAAAAAGGUUCCAGCCCCCAAGGCUCGAUGAAUGGUAUAGACCUAUAUUAGAAUUAGAUUACUUUGCACUGGUAGGAGUAGCAUCUGCAAGUGAAAAUGAUAAACAUAAAGUUGCAAAAUUAAAGGAGGUUCCUGUGAAUUUCCAAUCACCUGAACAGUAUGUUGGGAUUUUUUGUCCAUUAGUCUUGGAGGAGUUUAAAGCACAAUUACAGAGUUCAUUUCUAGAAAUGUCUUCAUGGGAAGAAGUAUAUAUUGGUAGCUUGUCGGUGCUUUCAGUUGAAAGAAUUGAUGAUUUUCAUCUUGUUCGCUUUGCUCAUGAUGUCAAUGAUUCUAUAGCAUCAAGCAGCUUUUCAGAAAAUGACCUUGUAUUGCUAACGAAAGAGCCCCCGCAAAAAUCUUCUCAUGAAGUUCAUGUUCUCGGAAAGGUGGAGAGGCGUGAGAGAGACAACAAAAGGAGAUUAAAUAUCAUACUCAUCAGGUUCUAUCUUCUGAGUGGUACUUCACGUUUACAUCAAGCCAGAAGAAAUCUCCUUGAACGUAGUAAAUGGCAUGCAAGUCGUGUCAUGAACAUAACAUCUCAACUUCGAGAAUUUCAGGCAUUAUCAUUGAUAAAGGAUAUACCUUUGCUUCCGAUUAUUUUGAAGCCUGUCAAUGAUUCUCUUGAUUCUAAUGUGAGCAAUGAAGUAGAUCUGAGUAAAUUGUCGCUACCCUUGGAGCGAAUUCUGAAGUCUUCCUUUAAUGAUAGUCAACUUCAGGCAAUUAGUAUUGCUACUGAGACACCUAAGCGGAAGAAAGAUUUUGAAUUAUCUCUUAUUCAGGGUCCUCCAGGUACUGGUAAGACGAGAACUAUUCUAGCCAUCGUCAGUGCUUUGCUUGCUUCUCCUCCACAGAAGAUAGAUUGUGAAAAAAAAAAUCUUGAUGGCAGUUUGAAACGAAUUUCAGUUCCUAAGAUUAACCAGGCUGCUGCUAUUGCAAGGGCAUGGCAGGAUGCAGCCUUGGCUAGACAACUGGAUGAGGAUGUACAGAGGAAUACAAAGUCUAUAGAAAGUUCCAUGAGAGGUAGGGUACUCAUUUGUGCUCAAUCUAAUGCUGCUGUUGAUGAGUUAGUGUCAAGGAUUUCUAGCCAUGGCCUUUAUGGUAGUGAUGGAAAGAUGUAUAAGCCAUAUCUUGUAAGGGUUGGAAAUGUGAAAACAAUACAUCCAAAUUCACUUCCAUUUUUUCUAGAUACAAUAGUUGAUCAACGUGUAGCAGAUGAGAGGAUGAAACUGAAUAAUACAAAGAAUGAUUUGAGUUCAGAGUCCUCAAUAGCACUGCGUGCUAAUCUUGAAAAGUUAGUUGACAGUAUUAGAUUCUAUGAAGCCAAGCGCGCUAACUUAAGUGAUGAAAAUACUGACCUCAAGUCCUCGGAAGAUGAUACAUGUAAGGAGGAAGAUAGAAAGGAAAUGUCUGAUGCAGAAAUAGCAUUCAAGUUGAGAAAACUGUAUGAGCAAAAGAAGCAAAUCUAUAAGGAGCUCAGUUCUGUUCAGCAGCAGGAGAAGAAAUUUUAUGAAGAAAUCAAAGGACUUCGAUAUAAAUUGCGGAAGUCUAUACUAAGAGAAGCUGAAAUAGUGGUAACUACACUAAGUGGCUGUGGGGGAGACCUAUAUGGAGUGUGUUCUGAAUCUAUGUCAAGUCAUAAGUUUAGCAGUCCAUCUGAACAUACCCUUUUUGAUGCUGUUGUUAUUGAUGAAGCUGCUCAAGCUCUGGAACCUGCUACUCUGAUUCCUCUUCAGCUAUUAAAGUCAACUGGAACCAAAUGUGUCAUGGUUGGUGAUCCUAAGCAGCUUCCUGCAACAGUUCUCUCAAACGUGGCUAGUAAAUUUCUAUUUGAGUGCAGCAUGUUUGAACGUUUACAAAGGGCUGGGCACCCUGUUAUUAUGCUGACAAAACAGUAUAGGAUGCACCCAGACAUAUGUCUGUUUCCUUCUAUGCAUUUUUAUGAGAAGAAGCUGCUGAAUGGCGAUGAUAUGUCUAGCAAAUCAGCACCAUUUCAUGAGACAAAAGGUCUAGGACCUUAUAUUUUUUAUGAUGUUAUUGAUGGUCGGGAGCUUCGUGGUAAGAAUUCUAGUGCCAUGUCCCUAUAUAAUGAGCAUGAAGCUGAUGCUGCAGUUGAACUACUCAAGUUUUUUAAAAAGAGGUACCCUUCAGAAUUUCAUGGUGGAAGAAUUGGCAUCAUAACUCCAUAUAAGUCUCAACUGUCACUUCUGCGUUCUCGUUUCUCUAGCGCAUUUGGAUCUUCUAUCAUAGAUGCUAUGGAACUUAAUACUGUUGAUGGUUUCCAAGGUCGGGAGGUUGAUAUACUGAUACUUUCUACUGUUAGAGCAGCAGAACCAAGCUCUGCUGCACCUGGAAACAAUUCCGGCAGUAUUGGAUUUGUUGCUGAUGUUAGACGGAUGAAUGUUGCUUUGACGAGAGCCAAACUUUCACUUUGGGUUUUGGGAAAUGCAAGGACUUUGCAGAUGAACCAAAAUUGGGCUGCUCUUGUAAAAGAUGCCAGAAAGAGAAAUUUGGUUAUAACGACUAAAGCACCUUACAAGUACAUCUUUGAACCAGGUCUCCAGAAUAAUUCUGGCACUCAUUUGUUAGAGUUGCAACGUAGUCAGAAGAUCCAUGAUGCUACUCAGCAUGCGAAAAUCAUCGAUCGGAAUGCACAUGAAGCUCUUGACAGAAGAACAAAGCACAUUGGUCCUGUUCCUUCUAGUAACAGAAGACUUUAUGAGAGUGAAAAAGCUUUUUCUGGAACUAAAGAAGAUGUCAGACCUAAAAACUUAAUUGAUGGUAAAAUCCAUGGCCAGAGUAAAGUUUCCACGGAUGUUGGGUCUACAAUGCCAGGAAGACAUGUAGCGGAUGGUGAAAGUACAGAUAAAGAGAGCAGGAAAAGGAAACAUAGUUUGGACAAUACUCAAAUGGGUAAAAGAAAAGUUAAAUUUGAAAAUUCAAAGAGAGAUGCAGAUAACUCUGAACAAAGAGGAGGUGAUGGGCAUCGUCCUAUGAAAAUGCAAGAGUCGAAAAGAGCUAAGAGAAUUUCCGAGGGUGAUAGAAGCCAGACAAGUCAGGUUUCACCUCCCACAAAUCAAAUGAAGGAUGCAAGUGAUGGAGGUAGAGCUUCAAAUCAAGCUGGAACUUCUCAUGAUUUAAUUGCAAAAAGGAAACAGCAGCGUGAAGCUGUUGAUGCUAUUCUUUACUCAGCUCUAAUUCCUUCAAAGACGUCCAAGUCUGAAAAAUCAACAAGACCUGCGCCUGCCAAAAGACCGGUAUCUUCCUCAACUGCAGGUGGUAGCAUAAAACCAGCGAAGACAAGGAAAGAUUAACUCGAACGGUCUCAUUCUUUAGCUAGUGUUCAUUUGGCCAGCAUUUCGACUCCACUUCCUUUGGAAGCAUCAAGACAAGACACCAGGGAGAAGAACUACUAGGUUUUGGGCUGGAGCUUACUCUCCCUGUUCAUCUGUUUGAAGAACCAGGUGGAGAAUAUCAUAAGCGAUGAAGAUGUCCAGCUGACUGCUUGCUUAAUAUGUGGUACUUGGUUGAUUCCCUCCACAGUACCAAAGAGCAGGAGACGUUCUUUCUGUACAUCUGAAAGGCUUAGAAAACCAAAGAUCAGGAGACGGGGCUUUUGAAAAGAACGAGUUUGAUCUGAAAUUGUCUGUGGAACUGCACUUGGGCACCAUUGUAGAUUAGCCGGCGAUCGUAGUCUGUAAAUAUCAGUCGAUGUAACUACCUAUCACCUCAUGCUACUUAUCCACCAAAAAAGAAAGCAAGUUUUGAGUACAGGUAGUUUUAUUUGACAGGACUCAUGUACUCUUACUAGCGAGCUAACCUCGGCCCCAAUUUGGGAUUGUUAUGCUGUGAGAGUGUCAGAGGAAGCACUUCUAAGGUUGUUGGAGAGUAGCAGCUGAUGAGUGUAUAGGAGUUGUG
Fragaria vesca subsp. vesca is the source of this 7270-nucleotide RNA transcript. RefSeq lists it as uncharacterized. The transcript is spliced from 22 exons. NCBI's taxonomy places the organism in Eukaryota, Viridiplantae, Streptophyta, Magnoliopsida, Rosales, Rosaceae. The record is from RefSeq and is a predicted model, not a curated record.